GACUAGUGGCGGACGGGUGAGUAAUGUAUGAGCAACCUGCCUUUCAGAGGGGGACAACAGUUGGAAACGACUGCUAAUACCGCAUAAUGUACAUUGAAGGCAUCUUCGAUGUACCAAAGGAGCAAUCCGCUGAAAGAUGGGCUCAUAUCUGAUUAGUCAGUUGGCAGGGUAACGGCCUACCAAGACUGCGAUCAGUAGCCGGACUGAGAGGUUGAACGGCCACAUUGGGACUGAGAUACGGCCCAGACUCCUACGGGAGGCAGCAGUGGGGAAUAUUGGGCAAUGGGCGAAAGCCUGACCCAGCAACGCCGCGUGAAGGAAGAAGGUCUUCGGAUUGUAAACUUCUUUUAUGAGGGACGAAGGACGUGACGGUACCUCAUGAAUAAGCCACGGCUAACUACGUGCCAGCAGCCGC
Molecule: ribosomal RNA, 415 nt
Filed under: uncultured bacterium
Lineage: Bacteria
Description: bacterial SSU rRNA
Rfam family: Bacterial small subunit ribosomal RNA
Source: RNAcentral